Long non-coding RNA from Mauremys reevesii (Reeves's turtle), 541 nucleotides. RefSeq lists it as uncharacterized. The record is from RefSeq and is a predicted model, not a curated record. Lineage: Eukaryota; Metazoa; Chordata; Testudines; Geoemydidae. The transcript has 3 exons.
UCUAGAUCUUUGUAGGGGUAUUCAAAAGUUUAACGAAUGGAGGGGAGGGGCACCAAGGACGCACCUCCCCUAGGGCGGCAUUUGAUGUAGAGAUGGCCCUGCUUAAACCCUCCCUCUAUCUAAUUUGGAGCAAGGACAUGAAGUCAGGUGUCCCAGAGCCACUGAACAAAGCCAUCAAGCUAAGCCUGAGCCUCAGCGUGAGAGACAGAGAAUUAACAUGGCUCCUGGACCCCAGAGCAACACAGGAGAUUGAUUCUCCAAGCGGCCUUCCCAACUUGUAAGCCAAAGGCGAUCCUGUGGGGAUAUAAGGAACACAGAGAGACUAUCUUUAUCCUUCACCUUAGGAGACAAAGGACCCAGGCGAUUUGAUCUCUGUGAUGGAUCCCAGCCAGCAAAUGCUAGAAAGAAGACUGUGGGUUCAGCUUCCAUUCAAGAGUGGGAGCUCAUCCCCAUCUCCAGAAGCUUGGAGGACCACAGAAGAUGCACAAACUAAGAGUGUUUGGUGCCUCAGAAAAUGCUGUAAAACGAGAAUCUGACUAGA